UUUCCGUAGGUGAACCUGUGGAAGGAUCAUUCAUAAUAAGUGUUUUAUGGCACUUUUUUAAAUCCAUAUCCACCUUGUGUGCAAUGUCAGGGUUGAUUCUUCUCUCGAGAGGAUCAACCCCAAACAUCAACUAUAUCUCAACUCUUUGUCUGAAAAAUAUUAUGAAUAAAACAAUUCAGAAUACAACUUUCAACAACGGAUCUCUUGGCUCUC
RNAcentral lists this unclassified non-coding RNA (213 nucleotides) under plant metagenome. RNAcentral's name for it is "partial contains small subunit ribosomal RNA, internal transcribed spacer 1, and 5.8S ribosomal RNA". The record is from RNAcentral.